AUUGAACGCUGGCGGCAGGCCUAACACAUGCAAGUCGAGCGAGCGGCGGACGGGGGAGUAAUGUAUGGGGACUGCCCGAUAGAGGGGGAUAACUACUGGCAACGGUAGCUAAUACCGCAUACUAUCGGAUAACCCAUAUGGGAUUAGCUAUUAGGUGAGGUAAUUGCUCACCUAGGCGACGAUCCCUAGCUGGUCUGAGAGGAUGAUCAGUCACACUGGAACUGAGACACUGCACUGAAGCCUACGGAGGCGGCAGUGGUGAAUAUUGCACAAUGGGCGCAAGCCGGAAUCAGCCAUGGAGCGUGGAUGAAGAAGGCCCUAGGGUUGUAAUGUACUUUCAGUCGGGAGGCGUUACCGACAGAAGAAGCACCGGCUAACUCCGUGCCAGCAGCCGCGGUAAUAC
This 403-nucleotide ribosomal RNA is filed under the name uncultured bacterium. RNAcentral describes it as "partial 16S ribosomal RNA". It matches the Rfam family "Bacterial small subunit ribosomal RNA", at positions 30 to 526 of the family's 1533-position model. The record is from RNAcentral.